UAGGGAAUCUUCGGCAAUGGACGGAAGUCUGACCGAGCAACGCCGCGUGAGUGAAGAAGGUUUUCGGAUCGUAAAGCUCUGUUGUUAGAGAAGAACGUUGGUAGGAGUGGAAAAUCUACCAAGUGACGGUAACUAACCAGAAAGGGACGGCUAACUACGUGCCAGCAGCCGCGGUAAUACGUAGGUCCCGAGCGUUGUCCGGAUUUAUUGGGCGUAAAGCGAGCGCAGGCGGUUCUUUAAGUCUGAAGUUAAAGGCAGUGGCUUAACCAUUGUACGCUUUGGAAACUGGAGAACUUGAGUGCAGGAGGGGAGAGUGGAAUUCCAUGUGUAGCGGUGAAAUGCGUAGAUAUAUGGAGGAACACCGGUGGCGAAAGCGGCUCUCUGGUCUGUAACUGACGCUGAGGCUCGAAAGCGUGGGGAGCAAACAGG
Molecule: ribosomal RNA, 429 nt
Filed under: Bacillota bacterium
Lineage: Bacteria; Bacillati; Bacillota
Description: Firmicutes bacterium partial 16S ribosomal RNA
Rfam family: Bacterial small subunit ribosomal RNA
Source: RNAcentral